GUGAGGAAUUUUCCGCAAUGGGCGAAAGCCUGACGGAGCAAUGCCGCGUGAAGGAUGAAGGCCUAUGGGUUGUAAACUUCUUUUCUUAGAGAAGAAUAUUGACGGUAUCUGAGGAAUAAGCACCGGCUAACUCCGUGCCAGCAGCCGCGGUAAUACGGAGGGUGCAAGCGUUAUCCGGAUUCACUGGGUUUAAAGGGUGCGUAGGUGGAUUGGUAAGUCAGAGGUGAAAUCUCCGGGCUCAACUCGGAAACUGCCUUUGAUACUAUCAAUCUUGAAUAUUGUGGAGGUUAGCGGAAUAUGUCAUGUAGCGGUGAAAUGCUUAGAUAUGACAUAGAACACCAAUUGCGAAGGCAGCUGGCUACACAUAUAUUGACACUGAGGCACGAAAGCGUGGGGAUCAAACAGGAUUAGAAACCCUGGUAGUCC
Molecule: ribosomal RNA, 426 nt
Filed under: uncultured bacterium
Lineage: Bacteria
Description: partial 16S ribosomal RNA
Rfam family: Bacterial small subunit ribosomal RNA
Source: RNAcentral